This 83-nucleotide transfer RNA is filed under the name Bythopirellula goksoeyrii. Its description in RNAcentral is "Bythopirellula goksoyri tRNA-Tyr". It matches the Rfam family "tRNA". From Rfam's summary of the family: Transfer RNA (tRNA) molecules are approximately 80 nucleotides in length. Lineage: Bacteria; Pseudomonadati; Planctomycetota; Planctomycetia; Pirellulales; Lacipirellulaceae. The record is from RNAcentral.
GGGGAGUUACCGAAGCGGUCAAACGGGGCAGACUGUAAAUCUGCUGGCUCUGCCUUCGCAGGUUCGAAUCCUGCACUCCCCAC